GACUUAUUUGCAAGGAAUCCAUCACCAUGGCUAGGAGGGUCUGGGGGCGGGGGAGUGCCCAGGUCUUUUGUUAUCUUUGUCACCUCCUCCCCCACCGCAGGGCCUGAGUACCAGCACCACAUCCGAGAGGGGAGCGGCCAGGAGCCGCUGCUUCUCUGGAGCCGAGAAAACCUGUGUUUUUGCGCUUAGGUUGCUUUUAUCUGACUGAAACUCUACCUAGAGGCUUUGGAGCCCAGACACUGAGUCUUUGUUCUGCGAGGAAGGGGCCGCCACUCCAGGCGGCUGCAGAUAACGUCCCGAAGGGAGAGCGGGCCCAGCCACAUUAACUUUCUUUCUUUUUCUCUUUUUGAAGCUCUGCCUCCGACCUGCGGCGGAGUCAUGCGGCCGGAGGGGGCAGAUCGAAGCCCUUUGGACGAGGGCCGCCUCGUCCUGUUGUUCACUUGGACGCAGUGGAGAGGAAAGCGGUCCCCACAGGCGGACUUUGGCUCCGGGACCCGGGCCCACACGUCGUGGCCCCGCGCCUCCUCUGGAUAGGGGCAGGGCGGGAGGGCGCACGGAGCAGGAUUUAGGGACCUGCUGGGGGCCCAGAGGACCGGUGGGGCCCCGGGGGCUGGGGGAGGAGCGCGCCUCGGCCUGGGCUGGUGACUCCGGGAGAACCCGCACGGAAAGCCCAUCCAUCUGCGGGAAAGGGAAGGGAGGUCUGGGGAGUUGUCACUGCCCCACUGCGAUGGCGCAGGCUGGGGGCGGAGACUUGGGACCCACAGAGGCCCUUUCUCCAACACCUCCGCUCUUUCCUGGGCUUCCAGGAGGAAGAUUUGCACCUUCUUCGGGCCGCUUGCCGCAGGCCCUCCCGUCCCGGCUGCACCUCCUUCCUCCCACCCCUGCGGUGAAAGAGCUCUCGGGGUCCCCAGAGUCCCUCACCCCUCCCGCUCCCACGCCGGCCCCUGGGCCUUUGCUACUUGCACCACCUCAAUCGAUUUUUGCUGCGCGUCAACACUUAUUCCUGGGCAGAUCUCUGUGUUGUUGAGUUUCUAUCUGAAAAGAACAACAAAAAAAAGAAGGAUAAGAAUAAGAAGAAUUUCUUGUGUUUGGGAUGCAUAACUUCAUUUCUGUGCUGAGUACUUAUGCAUUUUAUGUGAAUGUUGAUUUUUAUAUUUUGUUGGAAGAUUAGCACAGUCUUGCAAGAAAUAAAAUAGUCCAUUAAAGAUGUAUUUAAUUCCAGCUUAAUUACCUUUUAAACUCAUUGCUGCUCCUUUUGAAACAGUUCAGUGGCAGCUGUGGA
RNAcentral lists this long non-coding RNA (1282 nucleotides) under Chinchilla lanigera (long-tailed chinchilla). RNAcentral describes it as "lncRNA (ENSCLAG00000024954.1)". The record is from RNAcentral. Lineage: Eukaryota; Metazoa; Chordata; Mammalia; Rodentia; Chinchillidae.